RNAcentral lists this long non-coding RNA (274 nucleotides) under Neodiprion lecontei (redheaded pine sawfly). Its description in RNAcentral is "uncharacterized LOC124294986". The record is from RNAcentral. Lineage: Eukaryota; Metazoa; Arthropoda; Insecta; Hymenoptera; Diprionidae.
GAAACUUGAUGCUAAUACUCUUUGAAAAUUAGCUUUAUUCGACUGAAAUGAGAAAUCUGUUUGAAUAUUGGGUGCUUGGAAGAAACGCAGCUGGUGAUACGGCCAAAAUAAUUAUAUCUCUAAUAUUCACUGUUAUCUGCGUAUUCAAUUUAUCACACGGACAAAGAUCAUAGCCACUUUUAAGCAACUGAGCAACUUUCUCACUCUCUUGUGAUUUCAGGCAGUAAUAUUAAAUUUUAACACUAUCGAAAAUAAGACAUUAAACCGAGUGUUC